This 502-nucleotide ribosomal RNA is filed under the name uncultured Actinomycetes bacterium. Its description in RNAcentral is "bacterial SSU rRNA". It matches the Rfam family "Bacterial small subunit ribosomal RNA", at positions 355 to 871 of the family's 1533-position model. Lineage: Bacteria; Bacillati; Actinomycetota; Actinomycetes. The record is from RNAcentral.
UGGGGAAUAUUGCACAAUGGGCGAAAGCCUGAUGCAGCGACGCCGCGUGAGGGAUGACGGCCUUCGGGUUGUAAACCUCUUUCAGCAGGGAAGAAGCGAAAGUGACGGUACCUGCAGAAGAAGCGCCGGCUAACUACGUGCCAGCAGCCGCGGUAAUACGUAGGGCGCGAGCGUUGUCCGGAAUUAUUGGGCGUAAAGAGCUCGUAGGCGGCUUGUCACGUCGGUUGUGAAAGCCCGGGGCUUAACCCCGGGUCUGCAGUCGAUACGGGCAGGCUAGAGUUCGGUAGGGGAGAUCGGAAUUCCUGGUGUAGCGGUGAAAUGCGCAGAUAUCAGGAGGAACACCGGUGGCGAAGGCGGAUCUCUGGGCCGAUACUGACGCUGAGGAGCGAAAGCGUGGGGAGCGAACAGGAUUAGAUACCCUGGUAGUCCACGCCGUAAACGGUGGGCACUAGGUGUGGGCGACAUUCCACGUCGUCCGUGCCGCAGCUAACGCAUUAAGCCG